GAUGAACGCUGGCGGCGUGCCUAACACAUGCAAGUCGAACGGAGUCAUAAAGCGGAAGUUUUCGGAUGGAAGAAUUAUGACUUAGUGGCGGACGGGUGAGUAACGCGUGGGUAACCUGCCUUGUACCGGGGGAUAACACUUAGAAAUAGGUGCUAAUACCGCAUAAGCGCACAGCUUCGCAUGGAGCAGUGUGAAAAACUCCGGUGGUACAAGAUGGACCCGCGUCUGAUUAGCUAGUUGGUGGGGUAGUGGCCCACCAAGGCGACGAUCAGUAGCCGGCCUGAGAGGGUGAUCGGCCACAUUGGGACUGAGACACGGCCCAAACUCCUACGGGAGGCAGCAGUGGGGAAUAUUGCACAAUGGGGGAAACCCUGAUGCAGCGACGCCGCGUGAGUGAAGACGUAUUUCGGUAUGUAAAGCUCUAUCAGCAGGGAAGAAAAUGACGGUACCUGA
RNAcentral lists this ribosomal RNA (453 nucleotides) under uncultured bacterium. RNAcentral describes it as "SSU rRNA". It matches the Rfam family "Bacterial small subunit ribosomal RNA", at positions 28 to 482 of the family's 1533-position model. The record is from RNAcentral.